This 2008-nucleotide ribosomal RNA is filed under the name hot springs metagenome. Its description in RNAcentral is "bacterial LSU rRNA". It matches the Rfam family "Bacterial large subunit ribosomal RNA", at positions 1 to 1978 of the family's 2925-position model. The record is from RNAcentral.
AGAAGCUGAUAAGGCUCGUGGUGGAUGCCUAGGCGCCAGAUGCCGAAGAAGGACGUGGGUCACUGCGAAAAGCCUCGGGGAGCUGUGAACGAGCGACGAUCCGGGGAUGUCCGAAUGGGGAAACCCGAUGGAGCGAACCUCCAUCAUCGCUUACUGAACACAUAGGUAAGCGAGGGGAACCUGGGGAACUGAAACAUCUAAGUACCCAGAGGAAAAGAGAGCAUUCCCUGAGUAGUGGCGAGCGAAAGGGGAGCAGCCCAAACCGCAUGGGGAACCAUGCGGGGUUGUAGGGCUCAGCGGAUAGGAGGAAGAACGCGAAGGUUAGCGGAAAGGUGUGGGAAAGCCUACCAGAGAGGGUAAGAGUCCCGUACGCGAAAACUGGAGCGCUCCUGCUGAGUACCUGAGUACUGCCGGGCACGCUAAUCCGGCAGGAAGCUGGGGGGUCCACCCUCCAAGGCUAAAUACAUCUGGCGACCGAUAGUGAACAAGUACCGUGAGGGAAAGGUGAAAAGUACCCCGGUGAGGGGAGUGAAAUAGAACCUGAAACCACGAGCUGACAAGCAGUUGGAGGGCUAAUGGCGUGACGGUGGCCUGCAGGAAUGCAGGACGCGGCGCUAGGCCUGACAGCGUGCCUCUUGGAGAAUGAGCCUGCGAGUUAAUCUCUGUGGCGAGGUUAAGGGAGAGACACCCGAAGCCGUAGCGAAAGCGAGUCUGAAAAGGGCGGUGAGUCGCAGGGAUUAGACACGAAACCGGGUGAGCUACCCAUGUCCAGGGUGAAACGGGUGUAAAAGCUCGUGGAGGCCCGAACCUACUAACGUUGCAAAGUUAGGGGAUGAGGUGUGGGUAGAGGUGAUAUGCCAAACGAACCCGGAGAUAGCUUGUUCUCCCCGAAAUAGCUAUAGGGCUAGCGCCUCUCAGUAAUCAACGGAGGUAGAGCACUGAAUGAGCUAGGGGGCUUAGGGCUUACCGAACUCAAUCAAACUCCGAAUGCCGUUGAUGGAAGGGAGGCAGUCGGACUACGGGUGAUGAGAUUCGUGGUCGAGAGGGAAACAGCCCAGAUCAUCGGCUAAGGUCCCCAAAUUCAAGCUAAGUGGGAAACGAUGUGGAGUUACCGAGACAACCAGGAGGUUGGCUUAGAAGCAGCCAUCCUUUAAAGAGUGCGUAAUAGCUCACUGGUCAAGUGAUUCUGCGCGGAAAACUUAACGGGGCUAAGCUUGAUACCGAAGCCAUGGGAUGUGUACGGAGGUACACAUCGGUAGGGGAGCGUUCCGCGAGCGGGGAAGGCAUACCGGAAGGAGUGCUGGAGCGAGCGGAAGUGAGAAUGCAGGCAUGAGUAGCGCAAAACACGUGAGAACCGUGUUCACCGAAAGUCUAAGGUUUCCGACGCCAGGUCAAUCCGCGUCGGGUUAGUCAGGUCCUUAGGUGAGGCCGAAAGGCGUAGCCGAUGGGAAGUCGGUCAACAUUCCGACACCGGUAGACUGGAGCGAAGGGGGGACGCGGGGAGGUAAGCCAGCCCACGAAUGGUGGUGUGGGUGCAUGGUGUGUCAGGCGAAGAGGCUGGGAGGGAAACCCCCUGGCUGAGCUGAGACACCGUGGCGGGCCGUAAGGCGAAGUGAGCUGAACCUAACCGCCGAGAAAAGCCUCUAAGCGAAGAAGGUAUACCGCCUGUACCGCAAACCGACACAGGUAGACGGGUAGAGAAUACCCAGGUGAACGAGAGAACCCUCGUUAAGGAACUAGGCAACAUAGCCCCGUAACUUCGGGAGAAGGGGUGCCUGCUCGGGUGACGAAAGGAGCCUGGGCGGGUCGCAGCGAAGCGGCUCUAGUGACUGGUUAACAAAACCACAGGUCUCUGCGAAGUCGAAAGACGACGUAUAGGGGCUGACGCCUGCCCAGUGCCGGAAGGUUAAGGGGAAGGGUUAGCGAAAGCGAAGCUCCGAACCGAAGCCCCGGUGAACGGCGGCCGUAACUAUAACGGUCCUAAGGUAGCGAAAUUCCUUGUCGGGUA